Molecule: ribosomal RNA, 886 nt
Filed under: uncultured bacterium
Lineage: Bacteria
Description: bacterial SSU rRNA
Rfam family: Bacterial small subunit ribosomal RNA
Source: RNAcentral
AGAGUUUGAUCCUGGCUCAGGAUGAACGUUGGCGGCGUGCCUAACACAUGCAAGUCGAACGGAAGUAGCAAUACUUCAGUGGCGCACGGGUGAGUAACACGUAGCUUACCCUCCUCCGAGAGUGGGAUAACGUUCCGAAAGGAAUGCUAAUACCGCAUAAGCUCACGGACUAUAGAGGUCAGUGAGAAAAGGGGCAACUCGCUUGGAGACGGGGCUGCGGCCCAUCAGCUAGUUGGUGAGGUAACGGCUUACCAAGGCGACGACGGGUAGGGGACCUGAGAGGGUGACCCCCCACACUGGGACUGAGACACGGCCCAGACUCCUACGGGAGGCAGCAGUGAGGAAUAUUGCACAAUGGGCGCAAGCCUGAUGCAGCGACGCCGCGUGAGUGAAGAAGGCCUUCGGGUCGUAAAGCUCUUUUCUGCGUGACGAGCAAGGACGGUAGCGCAGGAAUAAGUCUCGGCUAACUACGUGCCAGCAGCCGCGGUAAAACGUAGGAGACAAACGUUAUCCGGAGUUACUGGGCGUAAAGGGCGUGCAGGUGGUCUGUUAAGUCUGGCGUGAAAGCUCCUGGCUAAACCGGGAGAGGUCGUUGGAUACUGGCGGACUAGAGGACGGUAGAGGCGUGUGGAAUUCCGGGUGUAGUGGUGAAAUGCGUAGAGAUCCGGAGGAACACCAGUGGCGAAGGCGACACGCUGGGCCGUACCUGACACUGAUACGCGACAGCAUGGGGAGCGAACGGGAUUAGAAACCCCGGUAGUCCAUGCCGUAAACGAUGCCAGCUAGAUGUUCAAUUUCCGCAAGGGAAUGGGGUAUCGAAGCUAACGCGGUAAGCUGGCCGCCUGGGGAGUACGGUCGCAAGGCUAAAACUCAAAGGAAUUGACGG